Molecule: microRNA precursor, 109 nt
Organism: Sorghum bicolor (sorghum)
Lineage: Eukaryota; Viridiplantae; Streptophyta; Magnoliopsida; Poales; Poaceae
Rfam family: MIR5565 microRNA precursor family
Source: Rfam
GUAGUCGGAUUCGCAUCAAUCCAUAUGUGUUGGGGUGGGUUGGAGUGGAACUUGAACUAAAUUCCACCCUAAUCCACUCCAACCCAUAUGAAUUGAGAUGAAUCCGACA